RNAcentral lists this ribosomal RNA (2140 nucleotides) under Escherichia coli. RNAcentral's name for it is "bacterial LSU rRNA". It matches the Rfam family "Bacterial large subunit ribosomal RNA", at positions 1 to 2157 of the family's 2925-position model. Lineage: Bacteria; Pseudomonadati; Pseudomonadota; Gammaproteobacteria; Enterobacterales; Enterobacteriaceae. The record is from RNAcentral.
GGGUUGUGAGGUUAAGCGACUAAGCGUACACGGUGGAUGCCCUGGCAGUCAGAGGCGAUGAAGGACGUGCUAAUCUGCGAUAAGCGUCGGUAAGGUGAUAUGAACCGUUAUAACCGGCGAUUUCCGAAUGGGGAAACCCAGUGUGAUUCGUCACACUAUCAUUAACUGAAUCCAUAGGUUAAUGAGGCGAACCGGGGGAACUGAAACAUCUAAGUACCCCGAGGAAAAGAAAUCAACCGAGAUUCCCCCAGUAGCGGCGAGCGAACGGGGAGCAGCCCAGAGCCUGAAUCAGUGUGUGUGUUAGUGGAAGCGUCUGGAAAGGCGUGCGAUACAGGGUGACAGCCCCGUACACAAAAAUGCACAUACUGUGAGCUCGAUGAGUAGGGCGGGACACGUGGUAUCCUGUCUGAAUAUGGGGGGACCAUCCUCCAAGGCUAAAUACUCCUGACUGACCGAUAGUGAACCAGUACCGUGAGGGAAAGGCGAAAAGAACCCCGGCGAGGGGAGUGAAAAAGAACCUGAAACCGUGUACGUACAAGCAGUGGGAGCACGCUUAGGCGUGUGACUGCGUACCUUUUGUAUAAUGGGUCAGCGACUUAUAUUCUGUAGCAAGGUUAACCGAAUAGGGGAGCCGAAGGGAAACCGAGUCUUAACUGGGCGUUAAGUUGCAGGGUAUAGACCCGAAACCCGGUGAUCUAGCCAUGGGCAGGUUGAAGGUUGGGUAACACUAACUGGAGGACCGAACCGACUAAUGUUGAAAAAUUAGCGGAUGACUUGUGGCUGGGGGUGAAAGGCCAAUCAAACCGGGAGAUAGCUGGUUCUCCCCGAAAGCUAUUUAGGUAGCGCCUCGUGAAUUCAUCUCCGGGGGUAGAGCACUGUUUCGGCAAGGGGGUCAUCCCGACUUACCAACCCGAUGCAAACUGCGAAUACCGGAGAAUGUUAUCACGGGAGACACACGGCGGGUGCUAACGUCCGUCGUGAAGAGGGAAACAACCCAGACCGCCAGCUAAGGUCCCAAAGUCAUGGUUAAGUGGGAAACGAUGUGGGAAGGCCCAGACAGCCAGGAUGUUGGCUUAGAAGCAGCCAUCAUUUAAAGAAAGCGUAAUAGCUCACUGGUCGAGUCGGCCUGCGCGGAAGAUGUAACGGGGCUAAACCAUGCACCGAAGCUGCGGCAGCGACGCUGAUGCGUUGUUGGGUAGGGGAGCGUUCUGUAAGCCUGUGAAGGUGUACUGUGAGGUAUGCUGGAGGUAUCAGAAGUGCGAAUGCUGACAUAAGUAACGAUAAAGCGGGUGAAAAGCCCGCUCGCCGGAAGACCAAGGGUUCCUGUCCAACGUUAAUCGGGGCAGGGUGAGUCGACCCCUAAGGCGAGGCCGAAAGGCGUAGUCGAUGGGAAACAGGUUAAUAUUCCUGUACUUGGUGUUACUGCGAAGGGGGGACGGAGAAGGCUAUGUUGGCCGGGCGACGGUUGUCCCGGUUUAAGCGUGUAGGCUGGUUUUCCAGGCAAAUCCGGAAAAUCAAGGCUGAGGCGUGAUGACGAGGCACUACGGUGCUGAAGCAACAAAUGCCCUGCUUCCAGGAAAAGCCUCUAAGCAUCAGGUAACAUCAAAUCGUACCCCAAACCGACACAGGUGGUCAGGUAGAGAAUACCAAGGCGCUUGAGAGAACUCGGGUGAAGGAACUAGGCAAAAUGGUGCCGUAACUUCGGGAGAAGGCACGCUGAUAUGUAGGUGAAGUCCCUCGCGGAUGGAGCUGAAAUCAGUCGAAGAUACCAGCUGGCUGCAACUGUUUAUUAAAAACACAGCACUGUGCAAACACGAAAGUGGACGUAUACGGUGUGACGCCUGCCCGGUGCCGGAAGGUUAAUUGAUGGGGUUAGCGCAAGCGAAGCUCUUGAUCGAAGCCCCGGUAAACGGCGGCCGUAACUAUAACGGUCCUAAGGUAGCGAAAUUCCUUGUCGGGUAAGUUCCGACCUGCACGAAUGGCGUAAUGAUGGCCAGGCUGUCUCCACCCGAGACUCAGUGAAAUUGAACUCGCUGUGAAGAUGCAGUGUACCCGCGGCAAGACGGAAAGACCCCGUGAACCUUUACUAUAGCUUGACACUGAACAUUGAGCCUUGAUGUGUAGGAUAGGUGGGAGGCUU